AGAAUGGAAGUCCAGAAAAAAACUUUUUUUAAAUUAAAAAUUGAAGUUUUUUUAAUUUGUGCAGAAACAAUUAUUUAUAUUAAAGACAAGAAGACCCUAUGAAUUUAUUAAAUUUUUAUUUAAUAUGUAAUUACUAUUAGAAAAAUUUUGGCUGGGGCGGCUAGAAAAUAUUAUAAACUUUUUAAAAAUAAAAUGAUCCAUUAUUAAUGAUUUUAUGUUAAAUACUCUAGGGAUAACAGCGUUAUAUUUUUUGAUAGAUCAUAUUGACAAAAAAGUUUGCGACCUCGAUGUUGGAUUAGGAUACUUUUUUAAUGAAGAUAUUAAAAAAAGAAGUUUGUUCAACUUUUAAUUUCCUACUUGAUCUGAGUUCAGACCGGA
RNAcentral lists this ribosomal RNA (378 nucleotides) under Rhipicephalus sanguineus (brown dog tick). Its description in RNAcentral is "partial large subunit ribosomal RNA". The stretch from base 232 to 378 matches the Rfam family "Bacterial large subunit ribosomal RNA", at positions 2473 to 2620 of the family's 2925-position model. The record is from RNAcentral. Lineage: Eukaryota; Metazoa; Arthropoda; Arachnida; Ixodida; Ixodidae.